AAGGAAACAUCAUGGAGUCGAACAAUUUCAUCGACAUAAAGGCGGACUAAUAUGUUGGUGGAGUCAGUGGUCCUGAUGGGCAAGAAAUAGACAAUUUUAGUUAGUCUGUUAACGAUGACCUAAAUAGCAUUACGACCAGAAUAUGUCUUGGGUAGGCUUGUGAUAAAAUCUCCCACUUUCAUUCCGCAAUCGAGAGGCCCUG
RNAcentral lists this long non-coding RNA (202 nucleotides) under Carica papaya (papaya). RNAcentral's name for it is "long non-coding RNA (CPAP_LNC010596)". Lineage: Eukaryota; Viridiplantae; Streptophyta; Magnoliopsida; Brassicales; Caricaceae. The record is from RNAcentral.